RNAcentral lists this ribosomal RNA (405 nucleotides) under Vibrio vulnificus. Its description in RNAcentral is "bacterial SSU rRNA". It matches the Rfam family "Bacterial small subunit ribosomal RNA", at positions 12 to 413 of the family's 1533-position model. Lineage: Bacteria; Pseudomonadati; Pseudomonadota; Gammaproteobacteria; Vibrionales; Vibrionaceae. The record is from RNAcentral.
UUUGAUCAUGGCUCAGAUUGAACGCUGGCGGCAGGCCUAACACAUGCAAGUCGAGCGGCAGCACAGAGAAACUUGUUUCUCGGGUGGCGAGCGGCGGACGGGUGAGUAAUGCCUGGGAAAUUGCCCUGAUGUGGGGGAUAACCAUUGGAAACGAUGGCUAAUACCGCAUGAUAGCUUCGGCUCAAAGAGGGGGACCUUCGGGCCUCUCGCGUCAGGAUAUGCCCAGGUGGGAUUAGCUAGUUGGUGAGGUAAGGGCUCACCAAGGCGACGAUCCCUAGCUGGUCUGAGAGGAUGAUCAGCCACACUGGAACUGAGACACGGUCCAGACUCCUACGGGAGGCAGCAGUGGGGAAUAUUGCACAAUGGGCGCAAGCCUGAUGCAGCCAUGCCGCGUGUGUGAAGAAG